RNAcentral lists this ribosomal RNA (1805 nucleotides) under soil metagenome. Its description in RNAcentral is "bacterial LSU rRNA". It matches the Rfam family "Bacterial large subunit ribosomal RNA", at positions 1106 to 2925 of the family's 2925-position model. The record is from RNAcentral.
UUAGAAGCAGCCAUCCUUUAAAGAGUGCGUAAUAGCUCACCAGUCGAGCGGGGGUGCGCCCAAGAUUCAGCGGGAGUGAAGCUCGGCGCCGAAGCCACGGGAGAGCCUCAAUCUGCGGAUUGAGGCCACGGUAGAGGAGCAUUCCGCCUUAGGCCGAAGUCGUCUCGGAAGAGGCGGCGGACGAAGCGGAAGAGAGAAUGCAGGAAUGAGUAGCGCGAGGUGAGCGAGAAACUCACCCACCAUAUGCCUCAGGGUUCCUGGGGAAGGCUCAUCCACCCAGGGUUAGGCGGCCCUAAGCUCAACCCGCAAGGGGUAGGCGAUGGAGAGCCGGUUAAUAUUCCGGCCCCUCUCUGCGGCGAUGACCAAGGGGGGACGCAUCAGGUCGCUUCAGCGGGCGGACGGAUGUGCCCGUGCCAAAGGCGAGGCAUCCGGCUGUAGGCAAAUCCGCAGCCGGGUCAAGUCGAGCCGAGGCGGAGGUCCUACGGGACCGAAGGAAGAGCGAUCAGGUGCCGAGAAAAACCUCUAGGGAGUCGCAGAGAGCCCGUACCGCAAUCCGACACAGGUAGGCGGGCAGAGGAUGCUCAGGUGGGCGAGAGAACCAUGGUCAAGGAACUCGGCAAAAUGCUCCCGUACGUUCGCAAGAAGGGAGGCCCCGUGUAGGGCAGCGAUGUCCGAGGGGGCCGCAGAGAGCAGGCUGGGGGGACUGUUUCUCAAAAACACAGCACCCUGCCAACUCGCAAGAGGACGUAUAGGGUGUGAGACCUGGCCACUGCUGGAAGGUCAAGGGGAGGGGUGCAAGCCCCAAACUGAAGCCCCAGCGAAGGCCGGCCGUAACUAUAACGGUCCUAAGGUAGCGAAAUUCCUUGUCGGGUAAGUUCCGACGCGCAUGAAUGGUAUAACCACUCCAGCGCUGUCUUGACCAUGGGCUCGGUGAAAUUGAAGCACCGGUGAAAACGCCGGUGACUCGCGGCAGGACGGAAAGACCCCGUGGAGCUUUACUGGAGCUUGGCAUUGGGUCUCGACGGGUGUUGUGUAGGAUAGGUGGGAGCCGGAGAAGUCUCCGCGCUAGCGGGGAUGGAGGCGUCCUUGAAAUACCACCCUUCGCCCGUUGCGGCUCUAACCAACGGCCGUAUAGCGGUCGUGGGACCGUGCUAGGCGGACAGUUUAACUGGGGCGGUUGCCUCCUAAAGUGUAACGGAGGCGCGCAAAGGUCGGCUCAGCCGGGUUGGCGAUCCGGCGGGGAGUGCAUGGGCACAAGCCGGCUUGACUGUGACCCCGACAGGGGGAACAGGUGCGAAAGCAGGCCCAAGUGACCCGGUGGCUCUGUGUGGAAGGGCCAUCGAUCAUCGGAUAAAAGUUACCCCGGGGAUAACAGGCUAGUACCGCCCGAGAGUACACAUCGACGGCGGUGUUCGGCACCUCGAUGUCGGCUCAACUCAUCCUGGGGCUGAAGCAGGUCCCAAGGGUCCGUCUGUUCGCCGGUUAAAGAGUUACGUGAGCUGGGUUCAGACCGUCGCAAGACAGGUCGGUCCAUAUCCGCCGCGAGCGCAAGAGGCUUGAGGGGCGCUCUCCCUAGUACGAGAGGACCGGGAGGGCUGGACCGCUGGUGUACCAGCUGUUCCGCCAGGAGCACCGCUGGGUAGCUAGGUCCGGACGGGAUAAGCGCUGAAGGCAUCUAAGCGCGAAGCCCACCCCAAGAUGAGGCCUCUGAGAGCCCUGGGAGAACACCAGGUUGAUAGGCCGCAGGUGUACGCGCAGCAAUGCGCUCAGCCGAGCGGUCCUAAUCGCUCCGUCGUUUGCGCGAC